AACGCUGGCUGUGUGCCUAAUACAUGCAUGUCGAGCGAAGUUCUUCGGAACUUAGCGGCGAAUGGGUGAGUAACACGUACUCAACGUACCCUUUAGAUUGGGAUAGCGGUUGGAAACAGCCGAUAAUACCAAAUAUGCACAUUUUUCGCAUGAAAAGUGUGUGAAAGGAGCAAUUGUUCCGCUAAAGGAGCGGGGUGCGCAACAUUAGCUAGUUGGUGAGGUAACGGCCCACCAAGGCGAUGAUGUUUAGCGGGGUUGAGAGACUGAACCGCCACACUGGGACUGAGAUACGGCCCAGACUCCUACGGGAGGCAGCAGUAGGGAAUAUUCCACAAUGGACGAAAGUCUGAUGGAGCGACACAGCGUGCAGGAUGAAGGCCCCAUGGGUUGUAAACUGCUGUGGUAAGGGAAGAAAAAGCAGAAGAGUGGAACGCUUUUGCCUUGACGGUACCUUAUUAGAAAGCGACGGCUAACUAUGUGCCAGCAGCCGCGGUAAUACAUAGGUCGCAAGCGUUAUCCGGAAUUAUUGGGCGUAAAGCGUCUGUAGGUUGUUUGUUAAGUCUGACGUCAAAUUUUGGGGCUCAACCCCAAAYCGCGUUGGAUACUGGCAUACUAGAGUUAUGUAGAGGUUAGCGGAAUUCCUUGUGAAGCGGUGGAAUGCGUAGAUAUAAGGAAGAACACCAAUAUGGCGAAGGCAGCUAACUGGACAUAYACUGACACUGAGAGACGAAAGCGUGGGGAGCAAACAGGAUUAGAUACCCUGGUAGUCCACGCCCUAAACGAUGAUCAUUAGCUGAUGGAAAAUUCAUCGGCGCAGCUAACGCAUUAAAUGAUCCGCCUGAGUAGUACGUUCGCAAGAAUAAAACUUAAAGGAAUUGACGGGGAUCCGCACAAGCGGUGGAGCAUGUGGUUUAAUUUGAAGAUACGCGUAGAACCUUACCCACUCUUGACAUCUUCUGCAAARCUAUAGAGAUAUAGUGGAGGUUAACAGAAUGACAGAUGGUGCAUGGUUGUCGUCAGCUCGUGUCGUGAGAUGUACGGUUAAGUCCUGCAACGAGCGCAACCCUUGUCCUUAGUUACUAACAUUAAGUUGAGCACUCUAAGGAGACUGCCCGAGUAAUUGGGAGGAAGGUGGGGACGACGUCAAAUCAUCAUGCCUCUUACGAGUGGGGCAACACACGUGCUACAAUGGUCGGUACAAAGAGAAGCAAACUGGUGACAGGGAGCAAACCUCAAAAAACCGAUCUCAGUUCGGAUUGUAGUCUGCAACUCGACUACAUGAAGUCGGAAUCGCUAGUAAUCGUAGAUCAGCUACGCUACGGUGAAUACGUUCUCGGGUCUUGUACACACCGCCCGUCAAACCAUGGGAGCUGGUAAUGCCCGAAGUCGGUUUAUAAACAAACUGCCUAAGGCAGGACUGGUGACUGGGGUUAAGUCGUAACAAGGUAUCCCUACGAGAACGUGGGGAUGGAUCACCUCCUUUCU
This 1485-nucleotide ribosomal RNA is filed under the name Mycoplasmopsis columbina. Its description in RNAcentral is "Mycoplasma columbinum 16S ribosomal RNA". It matches the Rfam family "Bacterial small subunit ribosomal RNA". The record is from RNAcentral. Lineage: Bacteria; Bacillati; Mycoplasmatota; Mycoplasmoidales; Metamycoplasmataceae.